RNAcentral lists this ribosomal RNA (256 nucleotides) under uncultured bacterium. Its description in RNAcentral is "partial 16S ribosomal RNA". It matches the Rfam family "Bacterial small subunit ribosomal RNA", at positions 524 to 776 of the family's 1533-position model. The record is from RNAcentral.
UACGAAGGGGGGCUAGCGUUGCUCGGAAUCACUGGGCGUAAAGGGUGCGUAGGCGGGUCUUUAAGUCAGAGGUGAAAUCCUGGAGCUCAACUCCAGAAACUGCCUUUGAUACUGAGGAUCUUGAGUUCGGGAGAGGUGAGUGGAACUGCGAGUGUAGAGGUGAAAUUCGUAGAUAUUCGCAAGAACACCAGUGGCGAAGGCGGCUCACUGGCCCGAUACUGACGCUGAGGCACGGAAAGCGUGGGGAGCAAACAGG